Molecule: ribosomal RNA, 429 nt
Filed under: Bacteroidota bacterium
Lineage: Bacteria; Pseudomonadati; Bacteroidota
Description: Bacteroidetes bacterium partial 16S ribosomal RNA
Rfam family: Bacterial small subunit ribosomal RNA
Source: RNAcentral
UAGGGAAUCUUCCGCAAUGGACGCAAGUCUGACGGAGCAACGCCGCGUGAGUGAAGAAGGAUUUCGGUUCGUAAAACUCUGUUGUUAGAGAAGAACAGCGCAUAGAGUAACUGUUAUGCGUGUGACGGUAUCUAACCAGAAAGCCACGGCUAACUACGUGCCAGCAGCCGCGGUAAUACGUAGGUGGCAAGCGUUGUCCGGAUUCAUUGGGCGUAAAGCGAGCGCAGGCGGUCAAUUAAGUCUGAUGUGAAAGCCCCCGGCUCAACCGGGGAGGGUCAUUGGAAACUGGUUGACUUGAGUGCAGAAGAGGAGAGUGGAAUUCCAUGUGUAGCGGUGAAAUGCGUAGAUAUAUGGAGGAACACCAGUGGCGAAGGCGACUCUCUGGUCUGUAACUGACGCUGAGGCUCGAAAGCGUGGGUAGCAAACAGG